RNAcentral lists this ribosomal RNA (250 nucleotides) under uncultured prokaryote. RNAcentral's name for it is "partial 16S ribosomal RNA". It matches the Rfam family "Bacterial small subunit ribosomal RNA", at positions 524 to 774 of the family's 1533-position model. The record is from RNAcentral.
UACGUAGGGGGCAAGCGUUAUCCGGAUUUAUUGGGCGUAAAGCGUGUGUAGGCGGUUUAUUAAGUCUAAGAUUAAAUCCUGAAGCUUAACUUCAGUUCGUCUUAGAAACUGGUAGACUUGAGUGUGGUAGAGGUAAGUGGAAUUUCUAGUGUAGCGGUUAAAUGCGUAGAUAUUAGAAGGAACACCAGUGGCGAAGGCGGCUUACUGGGCCAUUACUGACGCUGAGACACGAAAGCGUGGGGAGCAAAUA